Dalotia coriaria is the source of this 919-nucleotide long non-coding RNA. RefSeq lists it as uncharacterized. The record is from RefSeq and is a predicted model, not a curated record. NCBI's taxonomy places the organism in Eukaryota, Metazoa, Arthropoda, Insecta, Coleoptera, Staphylinidae. The transcript has 3 exons.
CUGCGCAUGAAUCCCGGCGUUCGGCGUUCUCAUCGAGGUCAUCGUUUUCAAUUGCGGUCCAUCUUGAAAGUAUCACAAUUACAAUAUAGAUGUUCUUCAAUAACCAACGGUGAAGUAGAUAUAGGCGGGCAGUGAUUUGUCCUCGGCGUAUUGAUGAACUUAUGUAUAACAUAUUCAAUAAGAUCACACCAAUCCUAAAAAGGCAUUGACAGUUGAAGCAGAGAUAACACCACUGAAAUAUGCUCGGCUGAAAGAGGGUGGAGAUGUGCUCCAGGUCGCCACCAAUGUGAUGCAUCAUCGUAAAGACGCAAUUGUUGACGAACUCACCGUUCUCCUUGAAAUAUUCGAGGAGCAGCCCAUAUUGGCGCAUGAUCUCAACUGUCGCGAACCUGGAACGUAUAAGUCAGAACGCAUUAUUCGCAUUCGCACGUGUACACACACGCGCCGAUAAUAAAUCCUGCAAAUGCCACCUGGAACAUCAGUAAAUAAGUUGCACGUACCCGAGCCACGCGUAUUAUACUAGCCCAUGCCCAGUCCGUUUAUAUCGUUCGCCUGCUAGUUUAGAUUGCAAGCACAUUUGAAACUGAAAGACUUACUGUUUGAGAUGUUCCAUUAUACUGUUGGAUCGUUCGUCGCCUUUGCACGUAUUGUCCAAGAACAACAAGUACGUGUGGUUUGUAACGAUCAGGUCCUGCAGGUACUGCCGACUCUGUAGGCUAGGAUUGUACUGCCGCAAAAGAAGAAGGAACAAACGCUUGAGGUCUUGCGUCUGAAUAAUCUGUUCCUCAAGGCGCUUGAGUGCUAUACGAUCUUCUUCGGACAGAUGUGUUAAUUUGUGAUAGGUUUCUACCGCUUGUAGAAACUCUCGUAUGGCAGUGACCACCUUCAAACAAAUAAGUUGACUGGUUAAAGCUCAUAA